AACGUAGGAGACAAACGUUAUCCGGAGUUACUGGGCGUAAAGAGCGUGUAGGCGGCUAGGUUGGUGGGUUGUGAAAACUGGAGGCUCAACCUUCAGACGUCGACCCAAACCCCCUGGCUAGAGUCCGGAAGAGGAGAGUGGAAUUCCUGGUGUAGCGGUGAAAUGCGCAGAUAUCAGGAAGAACACCCGUGGCGAAGGCGGCUCUCUGGGACGGUACUGACGCUGAGACGCGAAAGCGUGGGGAGCGAACAGG
This 253-nucleotide ribosomal RNA is filed under the name uncultured prokaryote. RNAcentral describes it as "partial 16S ribosomal RNA". It matches the Rfam family "Bacterial small subunit ribosomal RNA", at positions 524 to 776 of the family's 1533-position model. The record is from RNAcentral.